This 829-nucleotide long non-coding RNA is filed under the name Equus caballus (horse). RNAcentral's name for it is "lncRNA (ENSECAG00000043535.2)". Lineage: Eukaryota; Metazoa; Chordata; Mammalia; Perissodactyla; Equidae. The record is from RNAcentral.
GAGAUUUAUUACAAGGUACUGGUUCAUGUGACUAUGGAGGUAGAGAAGUCCGUUAUCAGCUGUAUGCAAGCUGGUGAUCCAGGAAUGCCGGUGGUGUGGUCCAAAGGCCUAAGAGCCAGAGGGCCAACGGUGUAGGAUUCAGUCCUGGUCUGAAGGCCCAAGAUCCAGGAGCACCGAAAACAGGAGAAGAUCGAUGUCCUCGCUCAGUCAGACAGUCAGAGAGCAAAUCUAACCUUUCUCUGCUUUUUUGUUCUAUAAGGCCCUCAACAGAUUGGAUGAUGCCCACCCACACUGGGCAGGGCCAUCUGCAUUACUCAGUUCACCAGUUCAAGUGCUGACCUGCUCCAGAAAUGUCCUUGCAGACACCUGCAGAAAUAACAUUUAACCAGACGCACCCCCUGUCAAGGCCGAAACUAAGCCGACAUCAGGAAGCCUUGCGGCAUCCCCCAAGGGCGUCAUCCACCCCCUCCCUACAGCCCUCUGUAUUAAGGUGUGAGCUGUCUCUCCUAGUCCAAGGCAGCCGGCCAGGUUCCAGCUGGGAGGCAGAGCUGGGCCAGCACCGCACAGCUGAACAGGUGAGCUCUGUUCUCAACAGCGACACCGUGUGGCAGGAGGAAGCGAUGGCAGUGUGGUCUGAGCAGGUGUGGGUCUUUGCCCACUUGGCUGUGGAGUGAAGACCGACCCUCCCUCUCCGUCCGUAGGGCUCAAGGCCGCUCCAGGAAGACAUCCCGGCCUUCCUGCCUUUGAGACACUAAGGCAAACAGGGACGAUGAAUACGUAGCGGCUGAAAAACAAGUGGCCAGACCAUACUUGCCCCCACUUGUUGGAG